This is a long non-coding RNA of Larimichthys crocea (large yellow croaker), 1066 nucleotides long. RefSeq lists it as uncharacterized. The transcript is spliced from 3 exons. NCBI's taxonomy places the organism in Eukaryota, Metazoa, Chordata, Actinopteri, Sciaenidae. The record is from RefSeq and is a predicted model, not a curated record.
CCAACUCUGUUUCUUUAAACUUACUCUUUUGUCUUUUUUUUUCCUUUUUGACCUUUUGACUAACUCUGUUUUUUUUCCCCCUGUGCUUCAGAAAACCCCUCAUCUGCCAUCCUCCCACCACAUUAGCUCUGUUUGUUCACUACUGCACUCUUGGACUCCUGCCACCACCGGCUCUGCACCACCAUGGACACUUCAUGCUCUGGAUCACCAGCUCACAUGCACGUCCACCCUGGCGUGUGUUCAACUAAUUCAGACUUGAGGUGUAACUCUGUGGAUUCAUGCGAGACUCUGUCAUAGCGCCAGGGAAGCUGCUGUCGCACAGAGAUAUGCUGAAGGUCGUCUGAGGGUGGCUGUAGGUGCAGAGACCAGUCGGGGGGCCAGACAAAGACACAGACUCACUCAUGUACUACUCUCGGUAAUACCCCAAAGACCAAAGAGUCAUUCAUCUUCUUACAUCUUUGCUGUUGGAGUCAUCGCCAGCUAACAACCUGCUGUGACGGUCCCAGUAGUCCAGAUGGACUCUGAACUACCUUCGCUCUCAAAACCAGGACGAUCAACUUCUAAUUUAGGGCUAAUGGAUAAAAUCUCUAAUGUGUGUUGACAUCACGAAUACCCAAGAUGUUUUUAAAGGAUCUGGGGCAUGACGUUACACACAAAGGUAGCUCAAACACUUAUCCUCAUUAGUAACUGCUGCUUGAGAACACAGGACUGGAGAUGAUUAGUACAUUGACUUUCCACAGGGGAGACAGAGAGGGCGAGGCGGUGUAAUUUCAUUGUUGUUUUUUAUUGUCUGUCCUGCUCUAUUGGUAAUCAUUGAAGAACCCGAACAUGUUUUCUGUCAAAGUCACCACCUGUACAUUGCGUAGGUGUGUUUUGGCUCAAUAUAUUUGAUGUGCUUUUUUUUUUUUUUAAUUCAACUCAUUUACAGCAGUUAAUGUUGAAAGGUCCUCUUGCUAAGAAAGAACAAAGGAAGCAAGAAGAAUUUUCAAGCAAAGGAAACCAUGUAGGAUAAACAUAGUUUAUAAAAAUCAAUGUGUGGAAGAAAUGUCCAGAGCCUUUAAUCAAA